This 263-nucleotide ribosomal RNA is filed under the name rumen bacterium enrichment culture clone RDX8AF4. RNAcentral's name for it is "partial 16S ribosomal RNA". It matches the Rfam family "Bacterial small subunit ribosomal RNA", at positions 776 to 1044 of the family's 1533-position model. The record is from RNAcentral.
GAUUAGAUACCCCUGUAGUCCUAGCCGUAAACGAUGGACACUAGGUGUGGGGGGAUGUGCCCUCCGUGCCGCAGCCAACGCAUUAAGUGUCCCGCCUGGGGAGUACGGCCGCAAGGCUAAAACUCAAAGGAAUUGACGGGGGCCCGCACAAGCAGCGGAGCAUGUGGCUUAAUUCGAAGCAACGCGAAGAACCUUACCCGGGCUUGACAUUCAGGUGAAGCGGCGGAAACGCCGUGGCCGAGAGGAGCCUGAAGAGGUGGUGC